This 750-nucleotide ribosomal RNA is filed under the name Brevundimonas terrae. RNAcentral's name for it is "bacterial SSU rRNA". It matches the Rfam family "Bacterial small subunit ribosomal RNA", at positions 56 to 853 of the family's 1533-position model. The record is from RNAcentral. Lineage: Bacteria; Pseudomonadati; Pseudomonadota; Alphaproteobacteria; Caulobacterales; Caulobacteraceae.
UGCAAGUCGAACGGACCCUUCGGGGUUAGUGGCGGACGGGUGAGUAACACGUGGGAACGUGCCUUUAGGUUCGGAAUAGCUCCUGGAAACGGGUGGUAAUGCCGAAUGUGCCCUUCGGGGGAAAGAUUUAUCGCCUUUAGAGCGGCCCGCGUCUGAUUAGCUAGUUGGUAAGGUAAAAGCUUACCAAGGCGACGAUCAGUAGCUGGUCUGAGAGGAUGACCAGCCACAUUGGGACUGAGACACGGCCCAAACUCCUACGGGAGGCAGCAGUGGGGAAUCUUGCGCAAUGGGCGAAAGCCUGACGCAGCCAUGCCGCGUGAAUGAUGAAGGUCUUAGGAUUGUAAAAUUCUUUCACCGGGGACGAUAAUGACGGUACCCGGAGAAGAAGCCCCGGCUAACUUCGUGCCAGCAGCCGCGGUAAUACGAAGGGGGCUAGCGUUGCUCGGAAUUACUGGGCGUAAAGGGCGCGUAGGCGGAUCGUUAAGUCAGAGGUGAAAUCCCGGAGCUCAACUUCGGAACUGCCUUUGAUACUGGCGAUCUUGAGUAUGAGAGAGGUAUGUGGAACUCCGAGUGUAGAGGUGAAAUUCGUAGAUAUUCGGAAGAACACCAGUGGCGAAGGCGACAUACUGGCUCAUUACUGACGCUGAGGCGCGAAAGCGUGGGGAGCAAACAGGAUUAGAUACCCUGGUAGUCCACGCCGUAAACGAUGAUUGCUAGUUGUCGGGCUGCAUGCAGUUCGGUGACGCAGCU